RNAcentral lists this ribosomal RNA (2899 nucleotides) under Escherichia coli. RNAcentral's name for it is "bacterial LSU rRNA". It matches the Rfam family "Bacterial large subunit ribosomal RNA". Lineage: Bacteria; Pseudomonadati; Pseudomonadota; Gammaproteobacteria; Enterobacterales; Enterobacteriaceae. The record is from RNAcentral.
UUAAGCGACUAAGCGUACACGGUGGAUGCCCUGGCAGUCAGAGGCGAUGAAGGACGUGCUAAUCUGCGAUAAGCGUCGGUAAGGUGAUAUGAACCGUUAUAACCGGCGAUUUCCGAAUGGGGAAACCCAGUGUGAUUCGUCACACUAUCAUUAACUGAAUCCAUAGGUUAAUGAGGCGAACCGGGGGAACUGAAACAUCUAAGUACCCGAGGAAAAGAAAUCAACCGAGAUUCCCCCAGUAGCGGCGAGCGAACGGGGAGCAGCCCAGAGCCUGAAUCAGUGUGUGUGUUAGUGGAAGCGUCUGGAAAGGCGUGCGAUACAGGGUGACAGCCCCGUACACAAAAAUGCACAUGCUGUGAGCUCGAUGAGUAGGGCGGGACACGUGGUAUCCUGUCUGAAUAUGGGGGACCAUCCUCCAAGGCUAAAUACUCCUGACUGACCGAUAGUGAACCAGUACCGUGAGGGAAAGGCGAAAAGAACCCCGGCGAGGGGAGUGAAAAAGAACCUGAAACCGUGUACGUACAAGCAGUGGGAGCACGCUUAGGCGUGUGACUGCGUACCUUUUGUAUAAUGGGUCAGCGACUUAUAUUCUGUAGCAAGGUUAACCGAAUAGGGGAGCCGAAGGGAAACCGAGUCUUAACUGGGCGUUAAGUUGCAGGGUAUAGACCCGAAACCCGGUGAUCUAGCCAUGGGCAGGUUGAAGGUUGGGUAACACUAACUGGAGGACCGAACCGACUAAUGUUGAAAAAUUAGCGGAUGACUUGUGGCUGGGGGUGAAAGGCCAAUCAAACCGGGAGAUAGCUGGUUCUCCCCGAAAGCUAUUUAGGUAGCGCCUCGUGAAUUCAUCUCCGGGGUAGAGCACUGUUUCGGCAAGGGGGUCAUCCCGACUUACCAACCCGAUGCAAACUGCGAAUACCGGAGAAUGUUAUCACGGGAGACACACGGCGGGUGCUAACGUCCGUCGUGAAGAGGGAAACAACCCAGACCGCCAGCUAAGGUCCCAAAGUCAUGGUUAAGUGGGAAACGAUGUGGGAAGGCCCAGACAGCCAGGAUGUUGGCUUAGAAGCAGCCAUCAUUUAAAGAAAGCGUAAUAGCUCACUGGUCGAGUCGGCCUGCGCGGAAGAUGUAACGGGGCUAAACCAUGCACCGAAGCUGCGGCAGCGACGCUGAUGCGUUGUUGGGUAGGGGAGCGUUCUGUAAGCCUGCGAAGGUGUGCUGUGAGGCAUGCUGGAGGUAUCAGAAGUGCGAAUGCUGACAUAAGUAACGAUAAAGCGGGUGAAAAGCCCGCUCGCCGGAAGACCAAGGGUUCCUGUCCAACGUUAAUCGGGGCAGGGUGAGUCGACCCCUAAGGCGAGGCCGAAAGGCGUAGUCGAUGGGAAACAGGUUAAUAUUCCUGUACUUGGUGUUACUGCGAAGGGGGGACGGAGAAGGCUAUGUUGGCCGGGCGACGGUUGUCCCGGUUUAAGCGUGUAGGCUGGUUUUCCAGGCAAAUCCGGAAAAUCAAGGCUGAGGCGUGAUGACGAGGCACUACGGUGCUGAAGCAACAAAUGCCCUGCUUCCAGGAAAAGCCUCUAAGCAUCAGGUAACAUCAAAUCGUACCCCAAACCGACACAGGUGGUCAGGUAGAGAAUACCAAGGCGCUUGAGAGAACUCGGGUGAAGGAACUAGGCAAAAUGGUGCCGUAACUUCGGGAGAAGGCACGCUGAUAUGUAGGUGAAGCGACUUGCUCGUGGAGCUGAAAUCAGUCGAAGAUACCAGCUGGCUGCAACUGUUUAUUAAAAACACAGCACUGUGCAAACACGAAAGUGGACGUAUACGGUGUGACGCCUGCCCGGUGCCGGAAGGUUAAUUGAUGGGGUCAGCGCAAGCGAAGCUCUUGAUCGAAGCCCCGGUAAACGGCGGCCGUAACUAUAACGGUCCUAAGGUAGCGAAAUUCCUUGUCGGGUAAGUUCCGACCUGCACGAAUGGCGUAAUGAUGGCCAGGCUGUCUCCACCCGAGACUCAGUGAAAUUGAACUCGCUGUGAAGAUGCAGUGUACCCGCGGCAAGACGGAAAGACCCCGUGAACCUUUACUAUAGCUUGACACUGAACAUUGAGCCUUGAUGUGUAGGAUAGGUGGGAGGCUUUGAAGUGUGGACGCCAGUCUGCAUGGAGCCGACCUUGAAAUACCACCCUUUAAUGUUUGAUGUUCUAACGUGGACCCGUGAUCCGGGUUGCGGACAGUGUCUGGUGGGUAGUUUGACUGGGGCGGUCUCCUCCUAAAGAGUAACGGAGGAGCACGAAGGUUGGCUAAUCCUGGUCGGACAUCAGGAGGUUAGUGCAAUGGCAUAAGCCAGCUUGACUGCGAGCGUGACGGCGCGAGCAGGUGCGAAAGCAGGUCAUAGUGAUCCGGUGGUUCUGAAUGGAAGGGCCAUCGCUCAACGGAUAAAAGGUACUCCGGGGAUAACAGGCUGAUACCGCCCAAGAGUUCAUAUCGACGGCGGUGUUUGGCACCUCGAUGUCGGCUCAUCACAUCCUGGGGCUGAAGUAGGUCCCAAGGGUAUGGCUGUUCGCCAUUUAAAGUGGUACGCGAGCUGGGUUUAGAACGUCGUGAGACAGUUCGGUCCCUAUCUGCCGUGGGCGCUGGAGAACUGAGGGGGGCUGCUCCUAGUACGAGAGGACCGGAGUGGACGCAUCACUGGUGUUCGGGUUGUCAUGCCAAUGGCACUGCCCGGUAGCUAAAUGCGGAAGAGAUAAGUGCUGAAAGCAUCUAAGCACGAAACUUGCCCCGAGAUGAGUUCUCCCUGACUCCUUGAGAGUCCUGAAGGAACGUUGAAGACGACGACGUUGAUAGGCCGGGUGUGUAAGCGCAGCGAUGCGUUGAGCUAACCGGUACUAAUGAACCGUGAGGCUUAACCUU